This 85-nucleotide transfer RNA is filed under the name Chloroflexota bacterium. RNAcentral's name for it is "Chloroflexi bacterium (freshwater metagenome) tRNA-Leu". It matches the Rfam family "tRNA". Rfam says of the family: Transfer RNA (tRNA) molecules are approximately 80 nucleotides in length. Lineage: Bacteria; Bacillati; Chloroflexota. The record is from RNAcentral.
GCGGUCGUGCUGGAAUUGGCAGACAGGCAUGGUUGAGGGCCAUGUGUCGUAAGACGUGAGGGUUCAACUCCCUCCGACCGCACAA